UUACCAAAUCAAAUUCUCCUUAAAGGCUUUCUUAAAAAAAAAAAAAGAAUUUAUUUUUAUUUUAUGUGCAUUGGUAUUUUGUUUAUUGGUAUGCCUGUGUGAGGGUGUCAGAUCCCCUGGAACUGGAGUUGCCGACAGCGGUGAGCUGCCAUGUCAGUGCUGGGAGUUGAGUCCUGAGUCUUUGGAAGAUGAGCCCAUGCUCUUAACUGUAGUACCAUCUCCCCAGCCCCUUUAAAAGCUUUCUUACGAUGAUCAGGGUCAGUGUGGGAAUUAGAAUCAGGAUGCAGAUGCUGUCUUCUUGAAUCUCCCUGUGCACACAUCCCAGGGCUCAGGCAGAGACCUCCACUCCUGUACUCCCAGAAGCCCUCUCUGGGUAGGACCUUCUCCUUUCUCUUUCUUUUCCUGCUUCCUCUGCCCACAGUGCAUCCUGUGCUUUCUGUCGCCUCUCUUAAGUGCUCUCUGGAAAGCAGGUCUUAUAACCAUUGCUGUUGGCCUGUGAGACACUUUCAAUGGUUUCUUAGCACAGAUUUCACAGGAAGGUCACCAGCCACUGGCCCGAUUU
RNAcentral lists this long non-coding RNA (562 nucleotides) under Rattus norvegicus (Norway rat). RNAcentral describes it as "long non-coding RNA NONRATT000077". The record is from RNAcentral. Lineage: Eukaryota; Metazoa; Chordata; Mammalia; Rodentia; Muridae.